CGGAGGGUGCAAGCGUUAUCCGGAUUCACUGGGUUUAAAGGGAGCGUAGGUGGGUUGGUAAGUCAGUGGUGAAAUCUCCGAGCUUAACUUGGAAACUGCCAUUGAUACUAUCAGUCUUGAAUAUUGUGGAGGUCAGCGGAAUAUGUCAUGUAGCGGUGAAAUGCUUAGAGAUGACAUAGAACACCAAUUGCGAAGGCAGCUGGCUACACAUAUAUUGACACUGAGGCUCGAAAGCGUGGGGAUCAAACAGGAUUAGAUACCCUGGUAGUCCACGCCCUAAACUAUGGAUACUCGACAUACGCGAUACACUGUGUGUGUCUGAGCGAAAGCAUUAAGUAUCCCACCUGGGAAGUACGAUCGCAAGAUUG
Molecule: ribosomal RNA, 368 nt
Filed under: uncultured organism
Description: bacterial SSU rRNA
Rfam family: Bacterial small subunit ribosomal RNA
Source: RNAcentral